GAUGAACGCUGGCGGCGUGCCUAAUACAUGCAAGUCGAGCGAACGGACGAGAAGCUUGCUUCUCUGAUGUUAGCGGCGGACGGGUGAGUAACACGUGGAUAACCUACCUAUAAGACUGGGAUAACUUCGGGAAACCGGAGCUAAUACCGGAUAAUAUUUUGAACCGCAUGGUUCAACAGUGAAAGACGGUCUUGCUGUCCCUUAUAGAUGGAUCCGCGCUGCAUUAGCUAGUUGGUAAGGUAACGGCUUACCAAGGCAACGAUGCAUAGCCGACCUGAGAGGGUGAUCGGCCACACUGGAACUGAGACACGGUCCAGACUCCUACGGGAGGCAGCAGUAGGGAAUCUUCCGCAAUGGGCGAAAGCCUGACGGAGCAACGCCGCGUGAGUGAUGAAGGUCUUCGGAUCGUAAAACUCUGUUAUUAGGGAAGAACAGAUGUGGAAGUAACUGUGCACAUCUUGACGGUACCUAAUCAGAAAGCAACGGCUAACUACGUG
This 497-nucleotide ribosomal RNA is filed under the name uncultured bacterium. RNAcentral describes it as "partial 16S ribosomal RNA". It matches the Rfam family "Bacterial small subunit ribosomal RNA", at positions 28 to 507 of the family's 1533-position model. The record is from RNAcentral.